GACGAACGCUGGCGGCAUGCCUAAUACAUGCAAGUCGAGCGAACAGAUGAAGUGCUUGCACUUCUGACGUUAGCGGCGAACGGGUGAGUAACACGUAAGGAAUCUACCUAUAAGCGGGGGAUAACAUUCGGAAACGGGUGCUAAUACCGCAUAAUAUCUUCUUCCGCAUGGAAGAAGAUUGAAAGACGGCUCUGCUGUCACUUAUAGAUGACCUUGCGGUGCAUUAGUUAGUUGGUGGGGUAACGGCCUACCAAGACGAUGAUGCAUAGCCGACCUGGGAGGGUGAUCGGCCACAUGGGGACUGAGACACGGCCCAAACUCCUACGGGAGGCAGCAGUAGGGAAUCUUCCGCAAUGGGCGAAGGCCUGACGGAGCAAUGCCGCGUGAGUGAAGGAGGCCUUCGGGUCGUAAAACUCUGUUAUAAGAGAAGAACAAAUUGUAGAGUAACUGCUACAGUCUUGACGGUAUCUUAUCAGAAAGCCACGGCUAACUACGUGCCAGCAGCCGCCGUAA
RNAcentral lists this ribosomal RNA (513 nucleotides) under uncultured bacterium. Its description in RNAcentral is "partial 16S ribosomal RNA". It matches the Rfam family "Bacterial small subunit ribosomal RNA", at positions 28 to 523 of the family's 1533-position model. The record is from RNAcentral.